RNAcentral lists this ribosomal RNA (397 nucleotides) under uncultured Gammaproteobacteria bacterium. RNAcentral's name for it is "bacterial SSU rRNA". It matches the Rfam family "Bacterial small subunit ribosomal RNA", at positions 114 to 507 of the family's 1533-position model. Lineage: Bacteria; Pseudomonadati; Pseudomonadota; Gammaproteobacteria. The record is from RNAcentral.
UGUCUGGGAAACUGCCUGAUGGAGGGGGAUAACUACUGGAAACGGUAGCUAAUACCGCAUAACGUCGCAAGACCAAAGAGGGGGACCUUCGGGCCUCUUGCCAUCAGAUGUGCCCAGAUGGGAUUAGCUAGUAGGUGGGGUAACGGCUCACCUAGGCGACGAUCCCUAGCUGGUCUGAGAGGAUGACCAGCCACACUGGAACUGAGACACGGUCCAGACUCCUACGGGAGGCAGCAGUGGGGAAUAUCGCACAAUGGGCGCAAGCCUGAUGCAGCCAUGCCGCGUGUAUGAAGAAGGCCUUCGGGUUGUAAAGCUCUUUCAGGUGGAAAGAAAGCGGAUGGGCUAAUACCCUGUUCGGAUGACGGUACCACCAGAAGAAGCACCGGCUAACUACGUG